CCUACGGGUGGCAGCAGUGGGGAAUAUUGCGCAAUGGGCGAAAGCCUGACGCAGCGACGCCGCGUGAGGGAUGAAGGUCUUCGGAUCGUAAACCUCUGUCAGCAGGGAAGAACGGUCACUGUGCUAAUCAGCAGUGAAUUGACGGUACCUGCAAAGGAAGCACCGGCUAACGCCGUGCCAGCAGCCGCGGUAAUACGGAGGGUGCGAGCGUUAAUCGGAAUUACUGGGCGUAAAGCGCUCGUAGGCGGUAUGUCAAGUCAAGGGUGAAAUCCCCGGGCUCAACGUGGGAACUGCCUUUGAAACUGGCAAACUGGAGUGUGUGAGAGGGUAGUGGAAUUCCAGGUGUAGGAGUGAAAUGCGUAGAUAUCUGGAAGAACAUCAGUGGCGAAGGCGACUAUCUGGCACAUAACUGACGCUGAGGAGCGAAAGCGUGGGUAGCAAACAGGAUUAGAUACCCCAGUAGUC
RNAcentral lists this ribosomal RNA (465 nucleotides) under uncultured bacterium. Its description in RNAcentral is "partial 16S ribosomal RNA". It matches the Rfam family "Bacterial small subunit ribosomal RNA", at positions 338 to 795 of the family's 1533-position model. The record is from RNAcentral.